Molecule: ribosomal RNA, 447 nt
Filed under: uncultured bacterium
Lineage: Bacteria
Description: bacterial SSU rRNA
Rfam family: Bacterial small subunit ribosomal RNA
Source: RNAcentral
UCGCCAGACUCCUACGGGAGGCAGCAGUGGGGAAUAUUGCACAAUGGGGGAAACCCUGAUGCAGCAACGCCGCGUGAGUGAAGAAGUAUUUCGGUAUGUAAAGCUCUAUCAGCAGGGAAGAGAAUGACGGUACCUGACUAAGAAGCCCCGGCUAACUACGUGCCAGCAGCCGCGGUAAUACGUAGGGGGCAAGCGUUAUCCGGAUUUACUGGGUGUAAAGGGAGCGUAGACGGCAGUGCAAGUCCGGAGUGAAAGCCCGGGGCUCAACCCUGGGACUGCUCUGGAAACUGUAAAGCUGGAGUGCGGGAGGGGCAGGCGGAAUUCCUGGUGUAGCGGUGAAAUGCGUAGAUAUCAGGAGGAACACCGGCGGCGAAGGCGGCCUGCUGGACCGUAACUGACGUUGAGGCUCGAAAGCGUGGGUAGCAAACAGGAUUAGAUACCCCAGUA